GAUGAAGAACGUAGCGAAAUGCGAUACUUGGUGUGAAUUGCAGAAUCCCGUGAACCAUCGAGUCUUUGAACGCAAGUUGCGCCCGAAGCCUUUAGGCCGAGGGCACGCCUGCCUGGGCGUCACACGCCGUUGCCCCCCCCGCGCCUCCCUCGGGAGCGUCGGGGGGCGGACGAUGGCCUCCCGUGCGUCACCCCGCGCGGCUGGCACAAAUGCCGGGUCCUCGGCGACGAACGCCACGACAAUCGGUGGUUGUCGAACCUCGGUUGCCCGUUGUGCGCCUUCGUCGCGCUCCGAUCGGCCCGCGACGCUCCCCGCUCCGCUUCGGCCGAGCUUUCGACGCGACCCCAGGUCAGGCGGGGUUACCCGCUGAGUUUAAGCAUAUCAAUAAGCGGAGGA
RNAcentral lists this unclassified non-coding RNA (396 nucleotides) under soil metagenome. RNAcentral's name for it is "partial contains 5.8S ribosomal RNA, internal transcribed spacer 2, and large subunit ribosomal RNA". The stretch from base 1 to 122 matches the Rfam family "5.8S ribosomal RNA", at positions 35 to 154 of the family's 154-position model. The record is from RNAcentral.